AUGGCCGGGGGUCAGGAGGGGCCCAGCCCCCGCCCCAGCGAGGAGGAGCCCGGCAGCGACGGCAGGAGCACCUCGGAACGGGUGCAAGAACUGAUCAUCAACAAGGACCCGACGCUCCUGGACAAUUUCCUGGAUGUGAGCGGGGAAANNNNNNNNNNNNNNNNNNNNAUGGGGGGAUGGGGGGACGGGAGGAGCACCUCGGAACGGGUGAGAAAAUGGGGAAAAAACGGGAAAAAAUGGGCAAAAAUGGGCAAAAAACGGGAAAAAACUGGGAAAAAACAAGAAAAACUGGGAAAAAACUGGGAAAAACCAGGAAAAAAUGGGAAAUACUGGGGAAAAAAUGGGAAAAAUGGGAAAAAUGGGGGGAAAACGGGAAAAAUGGGGAAAAAAGGGAAAAAACUGGGAGAAAUGGGGGAAAAAUGGGAAAAACUGGGGAAAAAUGGGGAUAAAUUGGGGGAAAAUGGGGAAAAAAUGGGAAAAAAUGGGGAAAAAAUGGGGAAAAAAAUGGGAAAAAUGGGGAAAAAUGGGAAAAACUGGGAAAAUUUGGGAAAAAACUGGGAAAAAAUGGGUAAAAAUGGGGAAAAAAGGGGAAAAAAAUGGGAAAAAUGGGGAAAAAAAUGGGAAAAAUGGGGAAAAAUGGGAAAAAAUGGGAAAAUUUGGGAAAAAAUGGGGGAAAAUGGGGAGAAAAUGGGAAAAAUGGGGAAAAACUGGAAAAAAUGGGAAAAACUGGGAAAAAAUGGGAAAAAAAUGGGGAAAAAAUGGGGAAAAAAUGGGAAAAACUGGGAAAAAAAAAGGGGAAAAAAUGGGGAAAAAUGGGAAAAAUGGGAAAAAUGGGGAAAAACUUGGAAAAACUGGGAAAAAGUGGGAAUAAUUCCGUGUGCAGGUGGUGGAUUUGCUGAACCAGGCGGCGCUGAUCGGGAACGAGGGGAAAAUCACAAUCCUGAAACAGGUGAGAUCCGGGAAAAAUGGGAAUUUUGGGGGAAAAUGGGAAUUUGGGGGGGAAAAAUGGGAUUUUGGGGUGGAAAAUUGGGAUUUGGGGUCGUAAAUUGGGAUUUUGGGGUGGAAAAU
This 1068-nucleotide long non-coding RNA is filed under the name Cyanistes caeruleus (blue tit). RNAcentral describes it as "lncRNA (ENSCCEG00000000370.1)". Lineage: Eukaryota; Metazoa; Chordata; Aves; Passeriformes; Paridae. The record is from RNAcentral.